CUGAGGACACCUUGGUCAGUUACCCACUUCAAUUUCUUACAGCCUGUCAAUGCUCAAAGAACCUGAGGCAGCAGCCAUGCUCCAUCAGUCUCGCAGAUUCCAAGCGGUUGUUAGGCCCACGGUCUUUCCCCUGGACUUUCUCCCAUUCUCAGGCAGCACCGUUCCAACCAUUUCUGCAGUCCCUAGAUAUUCAUGAUGGGAAGAGGGGAGAGGGCAAGGUGAACAAUGCAAAGCAGCUGAGAAAAUGUAAACCAGCCAAGUCAGCAGAGCCUUUGCCCCCAAAUGAAGGCAUUUAUGGUAUUGAAGAAUAUUUAUUUGAGACAUUUCAACCUGGAUUUCCUGUGAAUGAAUUGGAAGCAAGUGAGAAGAUAAGAUCUGGAUGGAACUGGACUCUCUCCAUUCACACAGUUCGUUAG
This 416-nucleotide long non-coding RNA is filed under the name Capra hircus (goat). Its description in RNAcentral is "lncRNA (ENSCHIG00010018342.1)". Lineage: Eukaryota; Metazoa; Chordata; Mammalia; Artiodactyla; Bovidae. The record is from RNAcentral.